UACAGGGGUCCCGAGCGUUGUUCGGAUUCACUGGGCGUAAAGGGUGCGUAGGUGGCGUGGUAAGUUUGAUGUGAAGGCUCAGGGCUUAACCCUGAAAUGGCAUUGAAUACUACUAUGCUGGAGGUUUGGAGGGGGGACUGGAAUUCUUGGUGUAGCAGUGAAAUGCGUAGAUAUCAAGAGGAACACCAGUGGCGAAGGCGAGUCCCUGGACAACACCUGACACUGAGGCACGAAAGCUAGGGGAGCAAACAGG
This 253-nucleotide ribosomal RNA is filed under the name uncultured bacterium. RNAcentral's name for it is "partial 16S ribosomal RNA". It matches the Rfam family "Bacterial small subunit ribosomal RNA", at positions 524 to 776 of the family's 1533-position model. The record is from RNAcentral.